CUGAUGAAGGUGCUUAUCAGAUU
RNAcentral lists this small nuclear RNA (23 nucleotides) under Arabidopsis thaliana (thale cress). Its description in RNAcentral is "snRNA_16765". The record is from RNAcentral. Lineage: Eukaryota; Viridiplantae; Streptophyta; Magnoliopsida; Brassicales; Brassicaceae.